UCCCUUUCUACCUCCCAAGCCUAACGAAAGAGGAAAGAAGAGACGGUGAGAUAGGAAGGGGCUUGGGAAAGACAAUGUAGCUAAAUAGAGGGUAGAGAGUUAUAGGAAAUGGGAGUAGGGAAAGCAAGAAAGACAAUGGUGGAAAAUCUGUCAUAUUAUUCUAUGUAUAGCUGAAGUGUCAUCCAUCUCUAUCUCGCUGUGUUGCCUCGGAGAGGGAAAGGGCAGGAAUGACUGGUCAAGGAAAAACUAACUGAUGGAAAUAGAGAACACUAUAAAAGAGAAGGGAUGUUGACAAGAUGCCAAGGUGACCAGAACAGCCUCAAUUUGCUGGGACAUGGACUCUACAAGGUGUCUAACACGUUCCACAGGGAUGCUGGUCCAUGUUGACUCCAAUGCUUCCCACAGCUGUGUCAAGUUGGCUGGAUGGCCUUUUGGGUGGUGGACCAUUCUUGAUACACACAGGAAACUGUUGAUUGUGAAAAACCCAGUGGAAUUGCAGUUCUUGACACAACUGGCCGGUGGUGGCUGGUCCACUCCAGGAGUCUGAGGUGCGGGAGGUUCCUCCACCCCCUCUGGACAUCGAGGGGGCCCUGGCGUAUGCUGUUCGAUCCAUCCUGGACUCGAGGCGUCAGGUGAGGGGCCUUCAGUACGUCGUGGAGUGGGAGGGGUACGGUCCGGAGGAGAGAUGCUACACACAGGCCGAUUACAUGGUCAAACUAUAUCAUGGAAAGAGCAGGUGUUCUUAAUGUUUUGAACACUCAUUGUAUACUGUAAUUAAAACAGCAACACACUCCAUAAUCUACAGAUGGCAUCACAGAUGGCCCAACAUGCCAUCAUUAAAAAGACCAGCCAUGCCAUUGCUCUGUUGCUGCAGUUACGGCGAGGGAUGGCGUUUUCUCUGGAGAUUGUGUUGUGAUAUAGUCAUAUACGUGCAAACAUACUCACUAACAUGCAUACAAAACACACUAACAUACAUACAAUACAAGCUAACACACAUACAAAAACACACUAACAUGCAUACAAAAAGACGCUAAC
This 1035-nucleotide long non-coding RNA is filed under the name Salmo salar (Atlantic salmon). RNAcentral's name for it is "lncRNA (ENSSSAG00000095359.1)". The record is from RNAcentral. Lineage: Eukaryota; Metazoa; Chordata; Actinopteri; Salmoniformes; Salmonidae.